UACAGAGGUCCCAAGCGUUUGUUCGGAUUCACUGGGCGUAAAGGGUGCGUAGGCGGGUCUUUAAGUCAGGGGUGAAAUCCUGGAGCUCAACUCCAGAACUGCCUUUGAUACUGAAGAUCUUGAGUUCGGGAGAGGUGAGUGGAACUGCGAGUGUAGAGGUGAAAUUCGUAGAUAUUCGCAAGAACACCAGUGGCGAAGGCGGCUCACUGGCCCGAUACUGACGCUGAGGCACGGAAAGCGUGGGGAGCAAACAGG
Molecule: ribosomal RNA, 255 nt
Filed under: uncultured bacterium
Lineage: Bacteria
Description: partial 16S ribosomal RNA
Rfam family: Bacterial small subunit ribosomal RNA
Source: RNAcentral